GUGGGGAAUAUUGGACAAUGGGCGAAAGCCUGAUCCAGCCAUGCCGCGUGAGUGAUGAAGGUCUUAGGGUUGUAAAGCUCUUUCAGUAGGGAAGAUAAUGACGGUACCUACAGAAGAAGCCCCGGCUAACUUCGUGCCAGCAGCCGCGGUAAUACGAAGGGGGCUAGCGUUGUUCGGAUUUACUGGGCGUAAAGCGCACGUAGGCGGAUUGGUCAGUUAGAGGUGAAAUCCUGGAGCUCAACUCCAGAACUGCCUUUAAUACUGCCAGUCUAGAGUCCAGAAGAGGUGAGUGGAACUCCUAGUGUAGAGGUGGAAUUCGUAGAUAUUAGGAAGAACACCAGUGGCGAAGGCGGCUCACUGGUCUGGUACUGACGCUGAGGUGCGAAAGCGUGGGGAGCAAACAGGAUUAGAUACCCCUGUAGUCC
RNAcentral lists this ribosomal RNA (425 nucleotides) under uncultured bacterium. RNAcentral describes it as "bacterial SSU rRNA". It matches the Rfam family "Bacterial small subunit ribosomal RNA", at positions 354 to 796 of the family's 1533-position model. The record is from RNAcentral.